RNAcentral lists this ribosomal RNA (253 nucleotides) under uncultured bacterium. Its description in RNAcentral is "partial 16S ribosomal RNA". It matches the Rfam family "Bacterial small subunit ribosomal RNA", at positions 524 to 776 of the family's 1533-position model. The record is from RNAcentral.
UACGUAGGGUCCGAGCGUUGUCCGGAAUUAUUGGGCGUAAAGGGCUCGUAGGCGGUCCGUCACGUCGGGAGUGAAAACUCAGGGCUCAACCCUGAGCGUGCUUCCGAUACGGGCGGACUAGAGGUAUGCAGGGGAGAACGGAAUUCCUGGUGUAGCGGUGGAAUGCGCAGAUAUCAGGAGGAACACCGGUGGCGAAGGCGGUUCUCUGGGCAUUACCUGACGCUGAGGAGCGAAAGCGUGGGGAGCGAACAGG